CAGUCGCCGCGGUAAUACGUAGGUGGCAAGCGUUGUCCGGAAUUAUUGGGCGUAAAGGGCUCGCAGGCGGUUUCUUAAGUCUGAUGUGAAAGCCCCCGGCUCAACCGGGGAGGGUCAUUGGAAACUGGGAAACUUGAGUGCAGAAGAGGAGAGUGGAAUUCCACGUGUAGCGGUGAAAUGCGUAGAGAUGUGGAGGAACACCAGUGGCGAAGGCGACUCUCUGGUCUGUAACUGACGCUGAGGAGCGAAAGCGUGGGGAGCAAACAGGAUUAGAUACCCCGGUAGUCCCUGUCUCUUAUAC
This 301-nucleotide ribosomal RNA is filed under the name uncultured bacterium. Its description in RNAcentral is "partial 16S ribosomal RNA". It matches the Rfam family "Bacterial small subunit ribosomal RNA", at positions 509 to 807 of the family's 1533-position model. The record is from RNAcentral.